RNAcentral lists this ribosomal RNA (1734 nucleotides) under Enterobacter hormaechei. Its description in RNAcentral is "partial 23S ribosomal RNA". It matches the Rfam family "Bacterial large subunit ribosomal RNA", at positions 1 to 1767 of the family's 2925-position model. The record is from RNAcentral. Lineage: Bacteria; Pseudomonadati; Pseudomonadota; Gammaproteobacteria; Enterobacterales; Enterobacteriaceae.
GGGUUGUGAGGUUAAGCGACUAAGCGUACACGGUGGAUGCCCUGGCAGUCAGAGGCGAUGAAGGACGUGCUAAUCUGCGAAAAGCGCCGGCGAGGUGAUAUGAACCCUUGACCCGGCGAUGUCCGAAUGGGGAAACCCAGUGCAAUCCGUUGCACUAUCGUUAACUGAAUACAUAGGUUAACGAGGCGAACCGGGGGAACUGAAACAUCUAAGUACCCCGAGGAAAAGAAAUCAACCGAGAUUCCCCCAGUAGCGGCGAGCGAACGGGGAGCAGCCCGGAGUCUGAAUCAGCUUGUGUGUUAGUGGAACGGUCUGGAAAGUCCGACGGUACAGGGUGAUAGUCCCGUACACGAAAGCACACUUGCUGUGAACUCGAAGAGUAGGGCGGGACACGUGGUAUCCUGUCUGAAUAUGGGGGGACCAUCCUCCAAGGCUAAAUACUCCUGACUGACCGAUAGUGAACCAGUACCGUGAGGGAAAGGCGAAAAGAACCCCGGCGAGGGGAGUGAAAAAGAACCUGAAACCGUGUACGUACAAGCAGUGGGAGCCUCUUUAUGGGGUGACUGCGUACCUUUUGUAUAAUGGGUCAGCGACUUAUAUUCUGUAGCAAGGUUAACCGUAUAGGGGAGCCGAAGGGAAACCGAGUCUUAACUGGGCGUUAAGUUGCAGGGUAUAGACCCGAAACCCGGUGAUCUAGCCAUGGGCAGGUUGAAGGUUGGGUAACACUAACUGGAGGACCGAACCGACUAAUGUUGAAAAAUUAGCGGAUGACCUGUGGCUGGGGGUGAAAGGCCAAUCAAACCGGGAGAUAGCUGGUUCUCCCCGAAAGCUAUUUAGGUAGCGCCUCGUGAACUCAUCUUCGGGGGUAGAGCACUGUUUCGGCUAGGGGGCCAUCCCGGCUUACCAACCCGAUGCAAACUACGAAUACCGAAGAAUGUUAUCACGGGAGACACACGGCGGGUGCUAACGUCCGUCGUGAAGAGGGAAACAACCCAGACCGCCAGCUAAGGUCCCAAAGUCAUGGUUAAGUGGGAAACGAUGUGGGAAGGCACAGACAGCCAGGAUGUUGGCUUAGAAGCAGCCAUCAUUUAAAGAAAGCGUAAUAGCUCACUGGUCGAGUCGGCCUGCGCGGAAGAUGUAACGGGGCUAAACCAUGCACCGAAGCUGCGGCAGCGACGCUUAUGCGUUGUUGGGUAGGGGAGCGUUCUGUAAGCCGUUGAAGGUGUGCUGUGAGGCAUGCUGGAGGUAUCAGAAGUGCGAAUGCUGACAUAAGUAACGAUAAAGCGGGUGAAAAGCCCGCUCGCCGGAAGACCAAGGGUUCCUGUCCAACGUUAAUCGGGGCAGGGUGAGUCGACCCCUAAGGCGAGGCCGAAAGGCGUAGUCGAUGGGAAACAGGUUAAUAUUCCUGUACUUGGUGUUACUGCGAAGGGGGGACGGAGAAGGCUAUGUCAGCCGGGCGACGGUUGUCCCGGUUUAAGCAUGUAGGCGGAGGUUCCAGGUAAAUCCGGUACCUUAUUAACGCUGAGGUGUGAUGACGAGGCACUACGGUGCUGAAGUGAUAAAUGCCCUGCUUCCAGGAAAAGCCUCUAAGCAUCAGGUAACACGAAAUCGUACCCCAAACCGACACAGGUGGUCAGGUAGAGAAUACCAAGGCGCUUGAGAGAACUCGGGUGAAGGAACUAGGCAAAAUGGUGCCGUAACUUCGGGAGAAGGCACGCUGAUGUGUAGGUGAAG